AGGGGCACACAUCUGCACACAGCACUCGAGGUGUGGCUUUCUCAGUUCCCAGCACAAAGGGGCAAUCACUGCCCUGAUCCUGCUGGCUGCACUAUGGUUGACACAGAAUACCACUAUGCCCCUGGAAUUUUCCUGACAAAAAUUCCAUCCUCCCCCACGCCAACUAGGAUAUAAACAGUAGACAUUUUCCUUGGCCUUCCUUUGUUAUUAAUUAUUUUCAAAAAACACACACUUUAUGGUCUUCCACAGUAGUGACUAGUAGAAGUUCAAACUGAGCUUGUGCCUUUCUGAUGAUCUUUGCACCUGAGAUGGGGGCUGAGGCCUAGGACACAGGGUGGGCUGUGUGGGAAAGGCUCUUUGGCACUGCACAGGGCAUCUUUGGGGUCAUUUAGGGGAGAAGCACAAAGUGGAACAAGAGAGAGCUGUAGGUGAUAGAGAAAAGGCCUUUAUGACCUGGGGUGGCUACAUGCAAACCACCAGGCCUCUUGGAUAAGGUGCGGCCGCGCCCAUUGGGCCUUUGUGACCCGCAGUGACAUCGUGCCCAGAGGCCAUUGUGAUGCAGGUCCACGCAGUGACUGUGUGGGUAACAAAUCCCUGCAGUGGCCACUCUCAGGAGAGCAGCUCUCUGAGGAGGCAGCAGCUUCUCUGGAGGCAGCAGCUCCCCUGGGUGAUUGUGGCCAGUGUUCAUCAGAGCACUCCCACAAUGUCAAAGAAGCAGGAGGCAAAUGCCCACGACCAGCCCCGUGAGGGGCAGCCACUGCUGUACCUGCGGCGACAGGUGAGCCACAGGCAGCCAGAGGCAGCAGCACGGGUCACCUGGACGACCAUCACAUCCAUCCCUGGGGACAGGCCGACUCUGUUGCCCAAACCCAUCCGGUGCCAGAGCCCCACCAGGUCCUGCUCUCGCAGGCGCAGGCAGGAGGGCGGGCACUCAGUGCCCCACAGCAGUGUCACACGGCCACAGAGAUUGUCGGUGUGUGACUUGCCGCCUCUCCAUGGCCCUCACUUGACACUGGCACCUCCAAGCCAGCUCAGUGGUCACAGCUCAGGAGUGUCCACUGAGAGCGUGAACCUGCCCCCUCUGGCUGCAGCAGCAGCAGCAGCAGCAGCCACCUCUGGAUCCUGUUCCAGAGGCACAGCACAUGCUGUGGGAGCAGCCUGUGCCAGUGUCAAGCUGCCCCCUCUGCCAGCAGCAGCAGCAGCAGGAGCCUCUGUGUCUUUUUCCAGAGGCACAGCACUGUGUGCUGCAGGCCCCAUGGCCAGGGGUCAGAGAGAGCCUGUGCCACCUUCUCCAUGGGGCCCUGUGGCUGCAGGCAGAGCCCAGGGAACACCUUCCCUGGAGAGCAGAAAGGCAGGGCUCUGGCAUGGGUCAGCGGCAAGGCAGGGCCAUGGCCUGCGUCCUGUGCAAGCCGCACGCGGCCUGCCGCUCCGCACUGGGACCCAGCCGGCUCCUGGGAAGCACCUGGGGCACUCUGGGACACAGGAGCUUGUUGAGGUGCAGGAAGGGAAGGGUGGCAACAUCUACAGCGGACUUUUUGGAGGCCUGAGCCCAUCCCUGUCAGAAGACAGGUUCAUCAUGUCCACCUGCACCCAGGAGCAGCCAUGUGCCCAGCAAGAGGUGGAUGCAGAGCCCCAGGAGCUGUCCGGUGCAUCCAGAGGCUCCGCAGAAGAGACAGGAACAUACUCUGAGCUCCUGUCUGCUGGCCAGUUGGCAGAGCAGAGCUCUGUCUCUGAAAACUCCCAGCCCUGGGACUCUUCCCUAACGGAGCUAGAGGAAAAGCGGGAGGAGGAAGAGCUCCCAGCAACAAAGGCUGAAGGAGAGCGGGACAGCUCCCUGCAGAGUGUCGUCACUUGCCCCGUUGAAUGA
Molecule: long non-coding RNA, 1867 nt
Filed under: Cyanistes caeruleus (blue tit)
Lineage: Eukaryota; Metazoa; Chordata; Aves; Passeriformes; Paridae
Description: lncRNA (ENSCCEG00000012611.1)
Source: RNAcentral